RNAcentral lists this long non-coding RNA (452 nucleotides) under Helianthus annuus (common sunflower). The record is from RNAcentral. Lineage: Eukaryota; Viridiplantae; Streptophyta; Magnoliopsida; Asterales; Asteraceae.
CAGGAUACCAUAGUUACCCUAUGACUUUCGUGCUGGUCUUGUUUGGUAUUCCUAGUAAGUUAGUAUUUUAAGAUCCCGGUUUCCACAAUAGUUCCAAAGCUGAUAGAAGUUGUCAUACAUGUGUAGGAUUCUAACUUAGGUAAUGUACCUCUUUCCUCUGAUCGUAUCUUUAGCUCUUUGUUCGUGUUUGGUUCAUAGUUAGUUAAUUUAGUAUAUCGAUAGAAACCCCCUAAGAUAAAUAAAAGCAAGUAAAUCAGUUAGGUUAGAUAAGUUAGUCGAGUCUACUAUUCGCAGUCAGUAGAGUCUUGUGGGUUCGAUUCUCAGACUUAGGAUAUACUGCAUUGACCGGUACACUUGUUGGUUGUGUGGUCUAGGUUUUAGAGAGUUUGUUUUUAUAAAUUUAAAACUUAACGUGUCUAGUUUAGGUAAAUAUUAGUUAGUUUUUAUUUGAC